GCAGUCGUGGCCGAGUGGUUAAGGCGUCUGACUUGAAAUCAGAUUCCCUCUGGGAGCGUAGGUUCGAGUCCUGCCGACUGCG
This 82-nucleotide transfer RNA is filed under the name Schistocerca americana (American grasshopper). Its description in RNAcentral is "tRNA-Ser". It matches the Rfam family "tRNA". From Rfam's summary of the family: Transfer RNA (tRNA) molecules are approximately 80 nucleotides in length. Their secondary structure includes four short double-helical elements and three loops (D, anti-codon, and T loops). The record is from RNAcentral. Lineage: Eukaryota; Metazoa; Arthropoda; Insecta; Orthoptera; Acrididae. RNAcentral also lists the same sequence under 5 other names.